This 435-nucleotide ribosomal RNA is filed under the name uncultured bacterium. RNAcentral's name for it is "partial 16S ribosomal RNA". It matches the Rfam family "Bacterial small subunit ribosomal RNA", at positions 29 to 507 of the family's 1533-position model. The record is from RNAcentral.
AGCGAACGCUGGCGGUAGGCUUAACACAUGCAAGUCGAGCGGGCACUCUCGGGUGCCAGCGGCGGACGGGUGAGUAACGCGAGGGAACGUGCCCUCUGGUUCGGAAUAACCCAGGGAAACUUGAGCUAAUACCGGAUACGCCCUUUUGGGGAAAGGCUUGCUGCCGGAGGAUCGGCCCGCGUCUGAUUAGCUAGUUGGUGAGGUAACGGCUCACCAAGGCGACGAUCAGUAGCUGGUCCGAGAGGAUGAUCAGCCACACUGGGACUGAGACACGGCGCAGACUCCUACGGGAGGCAGCAGUGGCGAAUAUUGGACAAUGGGCGCAAGCCUGAUCCAACCAUGCCGCGUGAGUUAUAAAGGCCUUAGGGUUGUAAAGCUCUUUUAUCCGGGACGAUAAUGACGGUACCGGAGGAAUAAGCCCCGGCUAACUUCGUG